ACGAACAUGAGAUCUGACCUGAGCCGAAGCCAGAGGCUUAACCGACUGAGCCACCCAGGCGCCCUGAGGGUACUUUGAUCAUAAGUUGAUAAACACAUUUUGAGGUUUGUUUUCCUUAAAAACAAACAUAACUCUUCAGGACCACAUGUUCAGUAAACUUUUUUUUUAAUUGCUUAUUAUGCUUAUCAUUUGUGAAUUAGUAUUCUGCCCUAGUCCCUAAAGGUAGUUUUCUGUGCUAACUUUUGUUUUGCCUUUCUAGCUGCUAAGAUAGAUAAUGAUUAUGGCAAAGUGCGCCUUUUUAAAUGGUCUCCAAUGCCGACUGCUGAGCCAGUGAUGGAAUGAGUACAUUGAGGAAGAAUGUGUCAUUUGGAAUCCAGGACAUUCCGCAAGAAUAACUGCCUGAUACAUGAUUUCGUGACUGAUGCUGAAAUGGAAGCCAGCCAAUGCAGAAAUUUGGGGGAAAGUGAACCUGAAGAAUGCAAAGGGAAGUAGGAAUUCCUUUCUAGCAUUCCCCAACCUGCUUUGUCGUGUCUGCUCCACUGCAGUCAGAGGAAAAGAACCGAGUUCAUGGAAAUUACCAGCUAAGCCUUACAUCUUCUUUAAUGUUUGUAGGAAAUAUUCUGAAAAGAAGUGUGUGCAGCCAAAAUUGAAAGAACUGGAACAGAGGAACGGAGCUUAUCACUUGUACUCAGUACCUGUUGUCCCUCGGUUUUACCCCUUUCUUUCUGGAAUGUGGAGAUUUUCUUUAGCUGCCUACUCAUGAGAAAUAUGACUGCCAAGACUAGGAUUCUUGGGCAGAUAGAUUAGGCUCCAGUGCAGAAGUAAAAAGCCGCUGUGAGAACCCCAGGUAGGUGCUUUACUUCCUGUUGUAUGCUAGUUCGUUUGAGCUCCUCCUUCUGCCCCUGCUGUUUUGCGCUCCUGUAAAUCUCAUUUGACCAUUAAUAAACUGUUUUCUGAAGUGA
Suricata suricatta (meerkat) is the source of this 962-nucleotide long non-coding RNA. RefSeq lists it as uncharacterized. NCBI's taxonomy places the organism in Eukaryota, Metazoa, Chordata, Mammalia, Carnivora, Herpestidae. The record is from RefSeq and is a predicted model, not a curated record. The transcript has 3 exons.